UCGUGAUGAUGGUAGUUAAUGUGAUGAUGAUGAUGGUACAACUACCAUCAUCAUCAUCACAUUAACUACCAUUGUGA
RNAcentral lists this microRNA precursor (77 nucleotides) under Paramuricea clavata. The record is from RNAcentral. Lineage: Eukaryota; Metazoa; Cnidaria; Anthozoa; Malacalcyonacea; Plexauridae.